RNAcentral lists this ribosomal RNA (433 nucleotides) under uncultured bacterium. RNAcentral's name for it is "partial 16S ribosomal RNA". It matches the Rfam family "Bacterial small subunit ribosomal RNA", at positions 29 to 507 of the family's 1533-position model. The record is from RNAcentral.
AGCGAACGCUGGCGGCAGGCUUAACACAUGCAAGUCGAGCGGGCACUUCGGUGUCAGCGGCAGACGGGUGAGUAACACGUGGGAACGUACCCUUCGGUUCGGAAUAACGCUGGGAAACUAGCGCUAAUACCGGAUACGCCCUUUUGGGGAAAGGUUUACUGCCGAAGGAUCGGCCCGCGUCUGAUUAGCUAGUUGGUGGGGUAAUGGCCUACCAAGGCGACGAUCAGUAGCUGGUCUGAGAGGAUGAUCAGCCACACUGGGACUGAGACACGGCCCAGACUCCUACGGGAGGCAGCAGUGGGGAAUAUUGGACAAUGGGCGCAAGCCUGAUCCAGCCAUGCCGCGUGAGUGAUGAAGGCCUUAGGGUUUUAAAGCUCUUUUGUCCGGGACGAUAAUGACGGUACCGGAAGAAUAAGCCCCGGCUAACUUCGUG